GCCAAAGGAUGAUCCAACUCUGUUUGAUUUGUCUCAGUAGUUAGAGUUGUCUUCUCUGAAUUGCCAUCCAGUGACAGAUGAAGAUGAGAGUAUACCACCUUCUAAAGAGACAUGCCAUAGUUAUAACUGAGUUUUAGGUGGAUUUAUGAAUUUCAAGCCACAAAACGGGUUCAAAAGGAGAAGGAAUUCACAAAAAGUUAAGAGAAAGAAAAAGUGUCAGGAUACAGAGCUGAAGCCAUCAAGC
RNAcentral lists this long non-coding RNA (244 nucleotides) under Olea europaea (common olive). Its description in RNAcentral is "long non-coding RNA (OEUR_LNC003621)". Lineage: Eukaryota; Viridiplantae; Streptophyta; Magnoliopsida; Lamiales; Oleaceae. The record is from RNAcentral.